Molecule: small RNA, 593 nt
Filed under: Pongo abelii (Sumatran orangutan)
Lineage: Eukaryota; Metazoa; Chordata; Mammalia; Primates; Hominidae
Description: processed transcript
Source: RNAcentral
UGGGGCGCUUAAUAGGUGUAUUAAAGGUGGAAGAAGGCCCAUAUCUUUUUCUGUGGGUGCUUCAAGUGUUGUUGGAAGUGGAGGCAGCAGUGACAAGGGGAAGCUUUCCCUGCAGGAUGUAGCUGAGCUGAUUCGGGCCAGAGCCUGCCAGAGGGUGGUGGCCAUGGUGGGGGCCGGCAUCAGCACACCCAGUGGCAUUCCAGACUUCAGAUCUCCAGGGAGUGGCCUGUACAGCAACCUCCAGCGGUAUGAUCUCCCAUACCCCGAGGCCAUUUUUGAACUCCCAUUCUUCUUUCACAACCCCAAGCCCUUUUUCACUUUGGCCAAGGAGCUGUACCCUGGAAACUACAAGCCCAACGUCACCCACUACUUCCUCCGGCUGCUUCAUGACAAGGGGCUGCUUCUGCGGCUCUACACGCAGAACAUCGAUGGGCUUGAGAGAGGCUGACGUGAUGGCAGACAGGGUUCCCCGCUGCCCGGUCUGCACCGGCGUUGUGAAGCCCGACAUUGUGUUCUUUGGUGAGCCGCUGCCCCAGAGGUUCUUGCUGCAUGUGGUUGAUUUCCCCAUGGCAGAUCUCCUGCUCAUCCUUGGG